CCUUCGAUAGCUCAGUUAGUAGAGCGGAGGACUGUAGAUCCUUAGGUCGCUGGUUCAACUCCGGCUCGAAGGA
RNAcentral lists this transfer RNA (73 nucleotides) under Gadus morhua (Atlantic cod). RNAcentral describes it as "tRNA-Tyr (GTA) (tRNA-Tyr-GTA-10-1)". It matches the Rfam family "tRNA". From Rfam's summary of the family: Transfer RNA (tRNA) molecules are approximately 80 nucleotides in length. Their secondary structure includes four short double-helical elements and three loops (D, anti-codon, and T loops). Further hydrogen bonds mediate the characteristic L-shaped molecular structure. tRNAs have two regions of fundamental functional importance: the anti-codon, which is responsible for specific mRNA codon recognition, and the 3' end, to which the tRNAs corresponding amino acid is attached (by aminoacyl-tRNA synthetases). tRNAs cope with the degeneracy of the genetic code in two manners: having more than one tRNA (with a specific anti-codon) for a particular amino acid; and 'wobble' base-pairing, i.e. permitting non-standard base-pairing at the 3rd anti-codon position. RNAcentral also lists the same sequence under 1 other name. Lineage: Eukaryota; Metazoa; Chordata; Actinopteri; Gadiformes; Gadidae. The record is from RNAcentral.